CUUAACACAUGCAAGUCGAGGGGCAGCAUGAAGUCAGCUUGCUGACUUUGAUGGCGACCGGCGCACGGGUGAGUAACGCGUAUCCAACCCUCCCCUUACUCAGGAAUAGCCCGUUGAAAGACGGAUUAAUGCCUGAUGUUCUCAUGUUGCCGCAUGGCGAUAUGAGCAAAGAUUCAUCGGUAAGGGAUGGGGAUGCGUAUGAUUAGCUAGAUGGCGGGGUAACGGCCCACCAUGGCGACGAUGUCUAGGGGUUCUGAGAGGAAGGUCCCCCACACUGGAACUGAGACACGGUCCAGACUCCUACGGGAGGCAGCAGUGAGGAAUAUUGGUCAAUGGUCUGACGACUGAACCAGCCAUGCCGCGUGAAGGUCACGGCCCUAUGGGUCUUAAACUUCUUUUGUAAGGGAGCAAUAAGUUCUACGUGUAGGACGAUGAGAGUACCUUACGAAUAAGCAUCGGCUAACUCCGUG
RNAcentral lists this ribosomal RNA (470 nucleotides) under uncultured bacterium. RNAcentral's name for it is "bacterial SSU rRNA". It matches the Rfam family "Bacterial small subunit ribosomal RNA", at positions 47 to 507 of the family's 1533-position model. The record is from RNAcentral.